Molecule: transfer RNA, 90 nt
Filed under: Saccharothrix coeruleofusca
Lineage: Bacteria; Bacillati; Actinomycetota; Actinomycetes; Pseudonocardiales; Pseudonocardiaceae
Description: tRNA-Pro
Source: RNAcentral
GGCCGGGUAGACCGCGGCGCAGCCGUCCAUCUUGGUGGUGGUGCCCAGCGGCACGGCGAAGCUGGCGUAGUCCGAGUCCACGCCCAGGUU